This 427-nucleotide ribosomal RNA is filed under the name uncultured prokaryote. Its description in RNAcentral is "bacterial SSU rRNA". It matches the Rfam family "Bacterial small subunit ribosomal RNA", at positions 355 to 774 of the family's 1533-position model. The record is from RNAcentral.
UGGGGAAUUUUGCGCAAUGGCCGCAAGGCUGACGCAGCAACGCCGCGUGGGUGGUGAAGGCCUUCGGGUCGUAAAGCCCUGUCAGGUGGGAAGAAAGGUUUCAAGGAGAAACACUUGGGAUUUGACGGUACCACCAGAGGAAGCACCGGCUAACUCCGUGCCAGCAGCCGCGGUAAUACGGAGGGUGCGAGCGUUAUUCGGAAUUACUGGGCGUAAAGCGCGUGUAGGCGGGGAUGCAAGUCUGAUGUGAAAGCCCUGGGCUUAACCUGGGAAGUGCACUGGAAACUGCUUUUCUUGAGUUCUGGAGAGGAAGGGAGAACUCCCGGUGUAGAGGUGAAAUUCGUAGAGAUCGGGAGGAACAUCAGUGGCGAAGGCGCCCUUCUGGAAAGCAACUGACGCUGAGACGCGAAAGCGUGGGGAGCAAACA